Salvia hispanica is the source of this 395-nucleotide non-coding RNA. NCBI's taxonomy places the organism in Eukaryota, Viridiplantae, Streptophyta, Magnoliopsida, Lamiales, Lamiaceae. The record is from RefSeq and is a predicted model, not a curated record.
CUUUCGGUUUUUCUUGCAGCCCUUUAUUUUGUUGCAGUGGCUACCUUUGCUGCAUUGGUGGGGCUCCACGUGGUCAGAAAGCUCGUUAAAAUACUUGGUAGGGCGUCGUUGAUCAUCUUCAUCCUCGCCUUCACCAUCUUUGUGAGCGCGAUUUCACUAGGUUGGGUUGGAAUUGAAAACAUCAUCGGAAGCGAAGACCGUGGGCAUGACUUGUGGUUUUACAACUUUUGUGAAUACGACAACAAGCCUUAGUUGCUGCCUCAAUUUCAUGUACAGACUUUUGUACUAAACUUUUGUCUUGUUUUUCGCCGUUGUAAGAAGCUAUAUUUAAGUACUUGAUGACAUAAGUACUAAAAUCAAGAGUUAAUGUAUGUCCAACUACCCUCUUGUUAUCA